ACUGAUAGCACGUACGUAAAUUAUUGAGCUGUUACGCAAUGUUUAAGGGAGUGUUUCGAUAAUACUUGGUGAAAUAAAGGUUGUAUUUACUAAGACCUUCUAUUAAGUUGUCAUGACGGUAUUUAAGAAUAACUUAAGGGGAUGUUUAUAAAUGUUUGCCAUGAUUUUGAAAAACUGAUUCUUAUAUUACCACAACGCAGAUGAGAUUUGAAGACCACGCCAAAGAAGAAUGACAUCGCGAAACAACGUAUUUCACAACGAUUUAAAUAACAAACAACGUGAAUAGCAUGGGACAUCACUGUGUUUACUCUCAAAGUGAACAAAUGGUUCUACUACUAAAAGAAGACCAAACGCAAGAAGUUUUCGAAGGACAACAAGUGACGAAACACUGGACAAAAUACUUGUGACGUUAAACACUAUAGAGUAGAUGCAGCCGUUCAACUAUUUGACAUGUGUAGAUAACGUAUUCGGAGUGAUACUUCCGAGGCUUAAGACAUCUAGGGGAACACGGCUAUAGUAAAUACCUCGUGAGCUUUAUGGCCAAUAGAAGAGACGCUGGAACAAAGAAAAAAAAUACAAAUAACAACGCAAAUAACAACAACGACGAUGAAUACAACGGAACCGAAAAUAGAUAACGCAAUAUGAACAGCGGAAAUCAGAUCAGAAACACCAAACGCACGCGUAUCGCCAAGGACGAGUUAACAAUCGGGUUAUUUUAAUCGUCACAGUGGCAGGGAGAGACCCGAUUCGCCUAUACAACUUGGAGACGGAUCGAUCGUUAUCUUCGCGGCGGCAGUAACCGGUCCGACUUCAAGCGACAGUACAUUCGCGGCGAGCAACAGAUUCAAUACUACAUCAGCGACACCGGACGUUCAACUACAAAACGAUAACUUCUUCAGAUUGUGCUGUGCUUGACGUCAUUUCGAUUGACAUUUAGAUUGUACAACAAUACCAACACGUAGUUAUUUCAGCAGAGACGUUUGGGGACAAAUCAAUCAAACCUGCCUCCCACUCAACCACAGCUUUUGACUGACGGUGAAACUACUAUAUUGCCUCUUCAUGGGCUUAAAAGAUGCUGAUGCUGAUGAUGCUGCUGAUGAGGAGGAAGAGAAGGAGAAGGAGGAGAAGAAGGAGGAGGAUGGCGUUCCUUCGAGUACGUAGCUGAAUGGUUGUCAAAACAAUUCGACGUUAUUACACAGGAUACUGAUAACGUUAUGUUUUUAAACCAUGUCAUAUGGAUUGUCUGAAAGUAUUUAUUUAAGCGAUUUGUUUUUCAACUUAAACAUUUAAUUGAUGUGAACAAACACUCCUACAAAUCAUAAACAGUCUAACUUGGAACAAGAGAAAUUAAUCUGAGUAUCGACAUUGUUCAAUGUUUUCAAAUAACAGUUCAUUCAUAUGACCAGGAGCUCAACACAAAGAAAUGUUUAUUAUUUAAUUUUUAAAACAAGCACAUGUAGAUUAAAUAAUAAAAGCAAAUACAUGCUCAUUUAUUUGUUGAAUAAUUAAAGCUAUACACACGGGCAAGACAAUGACAAUCAACUGUUAAUCAGAAUAUGCAUACAAAGUCACAUAUUAAGCAUUUACCAUAACCUCUUACAACCGACGACUUUUUAUCUGUCAUGUUCAUGACCAAUGUAAAAUCGGUACAAUAUUAUGCAUGAUUUUAUUUUGUACAACACAUAAAAUAGUUUAAAUUGUCUUGCAUUGUAUUGUCGGUUUAUCUGUUGACUUUGGCGAAGCAAUUCGCGAAAACACGCCGAUCGAUGUCUGUGUUCCAGACAAAGGCACUAUUAAAAUGCGCAAUAUAGUUGUCACAAUAUGCAAAAACGUGAAUAUACACGAGCAUCCUUUAAUAUAUGUUUAAUGCAGUACCGUUCUUUCAUUCUUUACGAUAUCAAAUUCGGACACUCAUCUUAAUUGUUCCAUUAUAUUAUUUGCGAAACAUGUACAACAUUUGCACAUUAUUGUCAAUAAUGAAUAUAAUGUCAAGAACAUAUUUAACUCUCACUGAAUUUAUUUAGAAAGCGUUAAGUGCUUUUCACAAUGAGUGCGUAAUACAACA
Molecule: long non-coding RNA, 2065 nt
Organism: Dreissena polymorpha
Lineage: Eukaryota; Metazoa; Mollusca; Bivalvia; Myida; Dreissenidae
Exons: 3
Source: RefSeq, a predicted model, not a curated record